Long non-coding RNA from Xenia sp. Carnegie-2017, 636 nucleotides. RefSeq lists it as uncharacterized. The transcript is spliced from 2 exons. NCBI's taxonomy places the organism in Eukaryota, Metazoa, Cnidaria, Anthozoa, Malacalcyonacea, Xeniidae. The record is from RefSeq and is a predicted model, not a curated record.
AUUCGUUCGUCAAAGCAGUAUUGAACGGAAGUCGAAUCCAAAAUAAAGCGUCUAAUGGGUACAUACUUUCGUGGGGUCACGUUCAAUAAUUCUUUCAUGACUUAAAACAUUGAGGAAUACAGUUAGAACUACCAGCGCAUACUCAUUGGCAUAGACAAGGUGAUGGGGGCUUAUAUAACCCCCAAUGAACAGAGGUAAUGACCUCACAAAAAGACUAAAUCAGGGUAGAAAUUAGGAGAAGGGGGCGAUAGCUAGUUGGCUACUUAUGUUACUACCAAACCCAACUUGUUUAAUCUUCAACUUGUUCACCAAUUCUUCUGAGGAAAAUAAUGUCAACAUUGGUUGCUUAGCAAUUUCGACACUUUGAUUUGAGUAUUUUCCUGUGUUUUAAUGAGCAUCGCAGUGUUAUUGAAAAUAUUCUCACUAAAUAAAGCAUUAAAAUUGCUUAUGAACCAAGAAAGACUGCAAAGUAUUAUGUUUAUGCCAGUCAACAUCUGACAGAAUGGAAGGUCUACAGACAUUGGAGACCUAAUUCAUUGUUUUGUGGACAUAUCACCAUAAAGAAUGAAUCAUAUAAUCAUCUAUAGAAAUGCAGGGACCUAAUUCCUAUUUGAUACAAGUUUUUGUAACUCGAAA